UGGGGAAUAUUGCACAAUGGGCGCAAGCCUGAUGCAGCCAUGCCGCGUGUAUGAAGAAGGCCUUCGGGUUGUAAAGUACUUUCAGCGGGGAGGAAGGCGAUGCGGUUAAUAACCGCGUCGAUUGACGUUACCCGCAGAAGAAGCACCGGCUAACUCCGUGCCAGCAGCCGCGGUAAUACGGAGGGUGCAAGCGUUAAUCGGAAUUACUGGGCGUAAAGCGCACGCAGGCGGUCUGUCAAGUCGGAUGUGAAAUCCCCGGGCUCAACCUGGGAACUGCAUCCGAAACUGGCAGGCUUGAGUCUCGUAGAGGGGGGUAGAAUUCCAGGUGUAGCGGUGAAAUGCGUAGAGAUCUGGAGGAAUACCGGUGGCGAAGGCGGCCUCCUGGACGAAGACUGACGCUCAGGUGCGAAAGCGUGGGGAGCAAACA
This 427-nucleotide ribosomal RNA is filed under the name uncultured bacterium. RNAcentral's name for it is "partial 16S ribosomal RNA". It matches the Rfam family "Bacterial small subunit ribosomal RNA", at positions 355 to 774 of the family's 1533-position model. The record is from RNAcentral.